RNAcentral lists this non-coding RNA (20 nucleotides) under Arabidopsis thaliana (thale cress). Lineage: Eukaryota; Viridiplantae; Streptophyta; Magnoliopsida; Brassicales; Brassicaceae. RNAcentral also lists the same sequence under 1 other name. The record is from RNAcentral.
GGUCUGUGAUGCCCUUAGAU